GAUGAAGAACGUAGCGAAAUGCGAUACUUGGUGUGAAUUGCAGAAUCCCGUGAACCAUCGAGUCUUUGAACGCAAGUUGCGCCCGAAGCCAUCAGGUUGAGGGCACGUCUGCCUGGGCGUCACAUAUCGUUGCCCAAUGCCUAUUGCAGUGCAAUAGGAAUUUCUAGGGCGAAUGAUGGCUUCCCGUGAGCGUUGUUGCCUCGCGGUUGGUUGAAAAUCGAGUCCUUGGUAGGGUGUGCCAUGGUAGAUGGUGGUCGAGUUAGAACGAGACCGAUCAUGUGCAUGCUCCCCAAAAUAUGGCCUCUAUGACCCACACGCGUCUUUUGACGCUCAUGACGAGACCUCAGGUCAGGCGGGGCUACCCGCUGAAUUUAAGCAUAUCAAUAAGCGGAGGA
RNAcentral lists this unclassified non-coding RNA (395 nucleotides) under soil metagenome. Its description in RNAcentral is "partial contains 5.8S ribosomal RNA, internal transcribed spacer 2, and large subunit ribosomal RNA". The stretch from base 1 to 122 matches the Rfam family "5.8S ribosomal RNA", at positions 35 to 154 of the family's 154-position model. The record is from RNAcentral.